This 468-nucleotide ribosomal RNA is filed under the name uncultured bacterium. Its description in RNAcentral is "partial 16S ribosomal RNA". It matches the Rfam family "Bacterial small subunit ribosomal RNA", at positions 28 to 507 of the family's 1533-position model. The record is from RNAcentral.
GACGAACGCUGGCGGCGUGCUUAACACAUGCAAGUCGAACGGAAAGGCCCUGCUUUUGUGGGGUGCUCGAGUGGCGAACGGGUGAGUAACACGUGAGUAACCUGCCCUUGACUUUGGGAUAACUUCAGGAAACUGGGGCUAAUAUCGGAUAGGAGCUCCUGCUGCAUGGUGGGGGUUGGAAAGUUUCGGCGGUUGGGGAUGGACUCGCGGCUUAUCAGCUUGUUGGUGGGGUAGUGGCUUACCAAGGCUUUGACGGGUAGCCGGCCUGAGAGGGUGACCGGCCACAUUGGGACUGAGAUACGGCGCAGACUCCUACGGGAGGCAGCAGGGGGGAAUAUUGCACAAUGGGCGGAAGCCUGAUGCAGCAACGCCGCGUGCGGGAUGACGGCCUUCGGGUUGUAAACCGCUUUCGCCUGUGACGAAGCGUGAGUGACGGUAAUGGGUAAAGAAGCACCGGCUAACUACGUG